RNAcentral lists this microRNA precursor (113 nucleotides) under Oryza longistaminata (longstamen rice). RNAcentral's name for it is "pre miRNA MIR815". Lineage: Eukaryota; Viridiplantae; Streptophyta; Magnoliopsida; Poales; Poaceae. The record is from RNAcentral.
CUUCUGCUUCUCUUUUUUCUUCUUUUUCUUCUCCUUUCUUUGUGACCUAAGCACCCCGUGCGGCGAUGGUCUUGAGAGGAAGGAGGAGAAAGGGAAAAAAAGAGAAGCAGGAG